GCUGGCCUACGCCAUGGCCAUGGCAAGCAACACUGGGCAGGAUCCGAGCCAUGUCUGCAACUUACACCACAGCUCAUGGCAAUGUUGGAUCCUUAACCCACUGAGCGAGGCCAGGGACCGAACCUGUAACCUCAUGGUUACUAGUCGGAUUCAUUUCCACUGCGCCACAAUAGGAAUUUCUAUACUCAAUAUUUUGGAAUAACCUUUAUGGGAAAAGACUCUGAAAAAGAGUAUCUGUGUAUCACUUAUGUGAUACCUGAAACAAACACAACAUUGUAAAUCAACUCUACUUCAAUAAUAAAAGAAAAAAGAAAAAGCAAACAAUGCUAUCUGAGCUACCCCGGUGCUAUGAUGACAGUUACAUAAAGCUACGUUCUAGGAGCACAGAAAAUGCGAGUUAUCAUCAUAACCAAAGGCCCAGGCAAAGGUAAGCUGUCAAUUCCCCCUCAGAGACAGUCAGGCCCACUCAGCCCCUCUGCUCACUUCUCUGGGAGCUUCCGGUUCCCGAGGUUUUCGUCCCAGUGGGUGGGUUCCUCAGAGGUGUUCUCUCCAGAGAAGCUGCAGCACACUCCCCAGGCCAGGGGUCCUGUGCCCACGGCCUCUGCAGUGCCCUGCGUGCCUCUAGAGGUGUCUGACAUCACGUGCUGAACGGAGCUUGAAAAGUAAGCCUACCAGAGGCAGAUACGGGUUCUUCUGCACAAACCAGGACACAGAAUACAAACAGGAAGAGUUGGAAAAAGAAAUUCGAAUUCUGCACUUCUCAGAGAAAAAUCUAUCUUCAAUCUUACUGUUUCUGGUGGUGCCGGCAGAAACCUCAUUGGGGUCUGCAUGGCCGCAAAUGGAAAGUCACACACGAACACAUUUCCUGCAGGGACAGCAGGGCAAUGAGCUGGCUCUAUUUUGAGAGCCAAGCUCUCACUUAGCCGUGUCCCUAGCAUCCAUGAGUGGCGGUGCCCGGAGAAUUCCCGCUGCUGCAGGUGUGUCCACCUGGAUUAGUGUUGGGAACACAGGUAGAGGGAGAGAAGGGAAACGCCGGGGACAGUGAGGAGAGGCAGGUCACAUUUAGAAACAGUAACAAGUUACCGCCUCCGCUCUGCCCAAGGCACGGGGCGGGGGUGGCUGCACGGGGCUAAGCGAGGGCGGGGGCGGGGGUGGGGGUGACUCACACAGACCUUCUUGGUCCCCAUGGCUCUGCUGAGGGAGGUCAGGUGACUCACCGGGGUCACAUGGUCAGCCUGACACUGAGCCCCGGGUCUCUGUCUCCGUGUCCUCCCUGGAUGAAGCCAGCAGUGGCUGGUCAGCUCAGCUCACUCUCCACACCAGCCCCGGGUCUCUCGCAGGGUCUAAGAGCCAGACUCUGGCCCCGGGAAGGGUAUGAUUUCCUUGGAGGGCAAAUGGACAAGUGAAUAACAAGCCAGAUCCCACAAGGCCCGAGUGUCCCCAGGAGAAGAAACCACUGCUGGUUGUGCAAAACCUGGCACUUGGGUGGUUUCACAAACAAGAGGGAUGGGGCUGGACUUGGGGGUCUGGGUGGGGUGGAGGGAGCAGUGCGGGCUCACACAGGGGCUGGGGGUGGGGAGCUGGGCCUGGAAGAGGAUUCUGAAUUCUGCGUUGGGAAUUGGGAACAUGGGAGCCAGAGCAGGAAACACGGAAUCACAAGGGAGCUGCAGGGGGCGUCUGAUGAGCCAGGAAGGGUACCUGGUGCCCCUGCGCUGCUUGGAACUAAAGCAGAGAGUGGCCUGGGUGGCACCACAGAGCCAGGCAAACAGGUGUGUGGUGGCCCUGAGCUCAGGGCUGCAAACAGACGGGGACCUCUCACUGCCAGGAGGGUCACAGAAAACCUGUGUCUUCAACCAACCCCGAGGAGGACACUGCAGAGGACACCGCGCAAUGACAGGUACACGCUGGGGACUCUCAUUCCUUCCAAGGAAACAAGUGAAAAGUUCCUGUCAGUGGCGCGGGGGGCGGGGGGGGGACGGAAGGAACACGGCUCUGUGCCCAGCAUGCGGCCUUGGGCCACAGCCCAGUUACUGGGGUGCACAGCACAGGUCACGCUGCGGGGGACAGGGGCCUCUCUGUGAGGCCCGUCACCCAGAACACAGACAAUGGAACCCACUGUGUCGGGGAUGGCACACAGGUGCCGUCUCUCCAGCGGGGGAUAAAGGGGAACCUUCGCUACAAAACCAGCACGAAUAUCCCCACGGGUGGGAGGCCUGCCAUAGGGAACAGCUGCUUUUAGGAAAACUGCUUUGUCUAAAAGGAUGUCUUUUCACACCUGCGUGUGCUGGCAGCAUCCUGUAAGAGCCAAGGGCAGCGUGGUAAAGCUGGAUGACCAAGCCACUUUUCUCUCUCUCUCUCUUUUUUUUUUUUUUUUUUCCCGUCUUUUUGCCUUUUCCAGGGCCGCUCCCGAGGCAUACAGAGGUUCCCAGGCUAGGAGUCUAAUCGGAGCUGUAGCCACCAGCCUACACCACAGCCACAGCAACGUGGGAUCCGAGCCGCAUCUGCGACCUACACCACCAGUCACGGCAACGCCGGAUCCUCAACCCACUGAGUGAGGCCAGGGAACUGAACCCGCGUCCUCAUGAGGGCUAAUCGGGUUCGUUAACCACUGAGCCACAAUGGGAAUUUCCAUCAUUUCUCUGUUACUAGUGGUCACUGUCCUUCACCUUUAGAGGACAAGCCCAUGACCUACCUACACAUGAAACAGCCCAUAAAAUAAAAAAAAACCUUCAUGAUUAGAAAUGCUUCCGUCAGCAGCAGCUGUUUAUUCCCCAGAGUUGUUUUCACAGCUCCCUGGUCCAGCCAUUUCCAGAAAUGACUGCUGCCUGGCUGGCCAUCCUGUUACAGGAUGAACCAGGAUAUCUUUUCCCCAAACACAACACAACACAAACAGGAAGAAAAACUGGGCGAGAUAACGCUGAAGGGCUUCAUAUUACCAACCAUUUCCUUAGAGGUCUUUGGGGGGAAGGAGCUUUCACACGGUUACUUAGAACUUUUUUCCAUUGACUUUGCUGCUGUAAGUGCUCUGACUUUGGGCUCGUCGCCCCCACGACGGGCGGGACAGCGCGGUCCCCUCCCUGCCACUCCUCCUUGGGGUGAGGACUCGCCCUUCACAGCGAGAGCAUCUGAUCCUCAGGGCCAGGGCUAUUUCUGUGCUGCGCGUUCACACUCGGUGCAUUUUCAUUUGCCAACAGACGUUCUAAUUCACAAAAAGAAGGGAACGAGAAAUCCUUCACUGGAGGUCCGUGGAUGACAGAGAAGUGGCACCAGCAGUCUCUCCCUCGCGUUCCGCCCAGAGAACGUUUAGGUCACGGUCAAUAAUGGCCUAAGUCACGUUGUGACUGGAGAACACACUUCCGCAGUCACACGAAGCAGGAUCGGAAGGGGCUCCAAGUAUGGGGACCCCUACGGACCAGCCUUCCUGCUGCCACUGAACUCACACACCUGACACACCCACACCGACACACACUCACCAAUCCACCACCCCUACACAUGUACCAACACACAUCACAUACACAACACACGCAUCAACACACAUCACAUUACAGCACACCCCCCACACAUCCAAACUCACACCCCCACAUGCAGCAACACACAUCACGUAUGCAACACAUACCCCACACAUCCAAACACACACGCCCCACACAUCACAUAUAUAGCACCCCCCCACACACAUCCAAACACACACCCCCCACCCACAGCAAAAGACAUCACAUCACACAUACAGCACCCCGACCCCAACACACACACACCCCUUCGGGGAACCCCUAAGCAGAGUCUUGCUCAUCAUUCCAGUCUUCUGAUGUUGGCAGAGAUGGCACGUGAGUGGGACACUGGCAGGUGGCAAAUGCCAUGUCCCUUCAUGAGGCUUCCAGUGCCUCGCACCCCACUCCCUCCCCAGGGCUUGUGCACCUGUCUGACAAGGGCAGAGCUCAGGCUUUUCUGCUGGGAUGGGAGCAGCGGCAGGAAGGUGAUGGCCCAGCCCCUCAAGUCAACAACGGGGCCCUGAGUCUCCCUCCCAACUCAGAGAAAGGGACGUGGCUCCUCAAAAGCGAAUACCUUCCCUGUUGCACUGGACACGGUCCCUUCCUGCCACCAGAGGAAACCCACCAAACACACUCCUCAAAUGCCCACUGAAUGGGCAGUUUGUGCUGGGCCUCCACAUGGCUACAGGGGUGGAAAGCAGACAACUCGUGUUCCCAAGGCACCUGGGACUAUAGCUCAUCAUCGACAGCUAACGA
Molecule: long non-coding RNA, 4241 nt
Filed under: Sus scrofa (pig)
Lineage: Eukaryota; Metazoa; Chordata; Mammalia; Artiodactyla; Suidae
Description: lncRNA (ENSSSCG00060064725.1)
Source: RNAcentral